Molecule: ribosomal RNA, 253 nt
Filed under: uncultured bacterium
Lineage: Bacteria
Description: partial 16S ribosomal RNA
Rfam family: Bacterial small subunit ribosomal RNA
Source: RNAcentral
UACGGGGGGGGCAAGCGUUGUUCGGAAUUACUGGGCGUAAAGGGCGUGUAGGUGGCCAACUAAGUCCGACGUGAAAUCCCCAGGCUUAACCUGGGAACUGCGUCGGAUACUGGAUGGCUUGAAUUCGGGAGAGGAAUGCAGAAUUCCAGGUGUAGCGGUGAAAUGCGUAGAUAUCUGGAGGAACACCGGUGGCGAAGGCGGCAUCCUGGACCGGUAUUGACGCUGAGGCGCGAAAGCUAGGGGAGCAAACGGG